RNAcentral lists this ribosomal RNA (253 nucleotides) under uncultured bacterium. RNAcentral describes it as "partial 16S ribosomal RNA". It matches the Rfam family "Bacterial small subunit ribosomal RNA", at positions 524 to 776 of the family's 1533-position model. The record is from RNAcentral.
UACGGAGGGUGCAAGCGUUAUCCGGAUUUACUGGGUUUAAAGGGUGUGUAGGCGGACUUUUAAGUCAGGGGUGAAAUCUCCGAGCUCAACUCGGAAACUGCCUUUGAUACUAUUAGUCUUGAAUUAUGUUGAGGUUGGCGGAAUAUAACAUGUAGCGGUGAAAUGCAUAGAGAUGUUAUAGAACACCGAUUGCGAAGGCAGCUGGCUAAACAUAUAUUGACGCUGAGGCACGAAAGCGUGGGUAGCGAACAGG